RNAcentral lists this transfer RNA (76 nucleotides) under Sphingobacterium sp. Its description in RNAcentral is "tRNA-His". Lineage: Bacteria; Pseudomonadati; Bacteroidota; Sphingobacteriia; Sphingobacteriales; Sphingobacteriaceae. The record is from RNAcentral.
GUAGGGCUUGCUCAGUUGGUUAGAGCCCUAGAUUGUGGUUCUAGGGGUCCUUGGUUCGUGUCUGAGUACUUACCCA